AACGCACAUUGCGCCCCCUGGUAUUCCGGGGGGCAUGCCUGUCCGAGCGUCAUUGCUGCCCUCAAGCCCGGCUUGUGUGUUGGGUCGCCGUCCCCCUCUCCGGGGGGACGGGCCCGAAAGGCAGCGGCGGCACCGCGUCCGAUCCUCGAGCGUAUGGGGCUUUGUCACAUGCUCUGUAGGAUUGGCCGGCGCCUGCCGACGUUUUCCAACCAUUCUUUCCAGGUUGACCUCGGAUCAGGUAGGGAUACCCGCUGAACUUAA
RNAcentral lists this unclassified non-coding RNA (261 nucleotides) under uncultured fungus. Its description in RNAcentral is "partial contains 5.8S ribosomal RNA, internal transcribed spacer 2, and large subunit ribosomal RNA". The stretch from base 1 to 52 matches the Rfam family "5.8S ribosomal RNA", at positions 103 to 154 of the family's 154-position model. Lineage: Eukaryota; Fungi. RNAcentral also lists the same sequence under 1 other name. The record is from RNAcentral.